Molecule: ribosomal RNA, 252 nt
Filed under: uncultured bacterium
Lineage: Bacteria
Description: partial 16S ribosomal RNA
Rfam family: Bacterial small subunit ribosomal RNA
Source: RNAcentral
UACGUAGGGUGCGAGCGUUGUUCGGAAUUACUGGGCGUAAAGCGCGUGUAGGCGGGUCUUUAAGUCAGGGGUGAAAUGCCAAGGCUCAACCUUGGAACUGCCUUUGAUACUGGAGAUCUUGAGUCCGGGAGAGGUGAGUGGAACUGCGAGUGUAGAGGUGAAAUUCGUAGAUAUUCGCAAGAACACCAGUGGCGAAGGCGGCUCACUGGCCCGGAACUGACGCUGAGACGCGAAAGCGUGGGAGCAAACAGG